RNAcentral lists this small RNA (407 nucleotides) under Pan troglodytes (chimpanzee). RNAcentral describes it as "processed transcript". Lineage: Eukaryota; Metazoa; Chordata; Mammalia; Primates; Hominidae. The record is from RNAcentral.
AUCUCCGCGCACAGUGGUGGCCACCGCGACUGGUGCGGAAGUGUCGGCGCGUGCCCGGCGCUCCGCUGGGACCCGGGUUGCUCGCCCUGAGUCUCAGCUUUCUCAUCUGUACGGUUGGGACAAGUACAGUAACCCUCGCCCGUCAAGACGGGCCAGGGCUGUCGCGAGGGUCCACGCCUUAGUGCAGGCACCUAUCUUGUGCGGGGCCCUGAGAUGGGGUCUGACUCAGUUCCUGCGGGGAACUUCACCAGUGACCCAGUCAGUGCCCUUCAGUUAAAGACCACCAGGAGCACACUUCAUUGCUGUUGGAAAGGCUGAUGCCAAUCAAAACGAAUUUUUCCCUAAAGGAUGAUCUGUCUUCUAGUCAUUUUGACAGGAUGUUACAAAACAAAGGAGGCUUCAAUGUU